RNAcentral lists this ribosomal RNA (488 nucleotides) under uncultured bacterium. Its description in RNAcentral is "bacterial SSU rRNA". It matches the Rfam family "Bacterial small subunit ribosomal RNA", at positions 18 to 504 of the family's 1533-position model. The record is from RNAcentral.
CCUGGCUCAGAUUGAACGCUGGCGGCAUGCUUUACACAUGCAAGUCGGACGGCAGCGGGGGUGCUUGCACCUGCCGGCGAGUGGCGAACGGGUGAGUAACAUAUUGGAAUGUACCGAGUAGUGGGGGAUAACCAAUCGAAAGAUUGGCUAAUACCGCAUACGUCCUGAGGGGGAAAGCAGGGGAUCUUCGGACCUUGCGCUAUUUGAGCAGCCAAUAUCUGAUUAGCUAGUUGGUGGGGUAAGGGCCCACCAAGGCGACGAUCAGUAGCGGGUCUGAGAGGAUGAUCCGCCACACUGGGACUGAGACACGGCCCAGACUCCUACGGGAGGCAGCAGUGGGGAAUUUUGGACAAUGGGGGCAACCCUGAUCCAGCCAUGCCGCGUGAGGGAUGGAGGCCUUCGGGUUGUAAACCUCUUUCGCCAGUGAAGCAGGCCUGCUCCUUGUGGGUGGGUUGACGGUAGCUGGAUAAGAAGCGCCGGCUAACUAC